RNAcentral lists this ribosomal RNA (497 nucleotides) under uncultured bacterium. RNAcentral's name for it is "partial 16S ribosomal RNA". It matches the Rfam family "Bacterial small subunit ribosomal RNA", at positions 28 to 507 of the family's 1533-position model. The record is from RNAcentral.
GAUGAACGCUGGCGGCGUGCCUAAUACAUGCAAGUCGAGCGAACGGAUGAGAAGCUUGCUUCUCUGAUGUUAGCGGCGGACGGGUGAGUAACACGUGGAUAACCUACCUAUAAGACUGGGAUAACUUCGGGAAACCGGAGCUAAUACCGGAUAAUAUUUUGAACCGCAUGGUUCAAAAGUGAAAGACGGUCUUGCUGUCACUUAUAGAUGGAUCCGCGCUGCAUUAGCUAGUUGGUAAGGUAACGGCUUACCAAGGCAACGAUGCAUAGCCGACCUGAGAGGGUGAUCGGCCGCACUGGAACUGAGACACGGUCCAGACUCCUACGGGAGGCAGCAGUAGGGAAUCUUCCGCAAUGGGCGAAAGCCUGACGGAGCAACGCCGCGUGAGUGAUGAAGGUCUUCGGAUCGUAAAACUCUGUUAUUAGGGAAGAACAUAUGUGUAAGUAACUGUGCACAUCUUGACGGUACCUAAUCAGAAAGCCACGGCUAACUACGUG